RNAcentral lists this transfer RNA (101 nucleotides) under Xylaria arbuscula. RNAcentral's name for it is "tRNA-Ala". It matches the Rfam family "tRNA". From Rfam's summary of the family: Transfer RNA (tRNA) molecules are approximately 80 nucleotides in length. Lineage: Eukaryota; Fungi; Ascomycota; Sordariomycetes; Xylariales; Xylariaceae. The record is from RNAcentral.
GGGCACAUGGUCUAGUGGUAUGAUAUUCGCUUUGCACUGACGCCUAGAGUGUCUACAAUUGUAUCUGCGAAGGGUCCGGGGUUCAAUUCCCUGUGUGUCCA